Long non-coding RNA from Octopus bimaculoides (California two-spot octopus), 421 nucleotides. NCBI's taxonomy places the organism in Eukaryota, Metazoa, Mollusca, Cephalopoda, Octopoda, Octopodidae. The record is from RefSeq and is a predicted model, not a curated record.
UUUAGCUAUUUCAUUAAUGGAGCUUACGUAUCUAAACAACAACAACAGCAACAACAACAAUAUCAAGAACAGCAACAGUAGCGAAAACAACAACAGCAAAUAGCAACAUCAACAGUAACGGCAACAAGUAGACAACUGCAACAACAAAUAGGACAUUAAGAAGGAGCGAACAAACGUGUAUGCCAGAGUUCCGGGAGAAGUUUUAACCGGAUUAACAUGACAAUAUGCAAUUUCAGUGAGAGACGACUGCUAUUUCUAACAGAUCGAGGCAACCACGUCGAGGCGACAGCAUGUCUGUAUGAUACGUAAUGUGCUUGUCGACUACAUGGUUCCGGGUUCAAUCCCACAGCGUGUCUUCUACAAUGGCCACGGGACGACCAAAAGUGUUGUGAAUGGAUUUGGAAGAUGGAAACUGAUAGAA